UGCCGAGCAGGGCGGUCCUGCCCGGUGACUUGUUGCUGCCUGACCCGAACCUCCAAGCACGCACCCCGCCCUCUUCUGCCGCUGGCUCCGUCCAGGCCGUUACUGUUAAGCAAGCUCCAGGAAGCUGCCACAGGAGUCCUGUGUGAGGUCUGCCUGGCCUACAGAGUGAGACCUUGCCUCAGAAUAGAUGAGUGGAAAUAAAACGUGUGUGAAGAGAAGAAGGAGCGAUCCUAGUGGGGAAGCGCCGAGCAUGAGCAGAAGAGCGGUAAAGCACCCAGCAUGAGGGACUCUUCAAAUUUCGGGUAUGGCUUUAAUGGAGACGUUCAGGUAUACCUCUGGUGGGCUUGUCCGGGUUUCACUAAGGCUUUUUUGCUGUCUGGGAGGGUUCUAUCUUGUCCAGCCUGUUGUGCAAAGGAAAUCUUUGUGUUUGGGGACAACCUCAAGGCUGGAAAUGUCCCGCUCUUUUAGUAGUGAUGGGCAGAGUCACGAGGGGUAUUUUAGCUACUACUGUGACUGCUAAUGUUUUUUAAGCAAGGUCUGACCCUCUAGCUCAGUACCCCAGACUGGCCUUGAACUUGUGAUUGUCCCACCUCAAUCUCCUUAAUGCAGAGCUGGCAAGCACCUGCCACCAUGUUAUCAGGAAGUUUCAGUGGUUUAAAAACAGGUGUGGAAAACAAACACUGCCUAGUGGUGACACACAGUCUUAAUCCCAGCACGCAGAGGCAGGAGGAUCUCAGAGCAAGUUCUAGGACAGCCAAGGCUACACAGAGAAAUGCUGUCAAACAAACAAGCAAAACCAAGGUGGACUGAUCCUGAGGAAUGGCUCCGUAAGUCCUCUGGCCUUCAUAUACAUGCUCACAUAAACCUGUGCACCCCCAUAACCUGCCCUCCUCCCCUGUGGACAGUGAAUGUGCACACACACACACACAUGAAGUUAUGUUUGCAUUUACUGUGUGUGAACCAGGUUUGGUGCCCAUGUGGAGGUCAGAGAACAGCUUCUGGGAGUCGGUUCCUUCCAGCAUGUAUGUCCUAGAGAUUGGAUUUAGACUUUAAGGCUUGGCAGCAUGGGCCUUUAUCUGCUCAACUGUCUUGCUGACCCCUAGACACAAAUUUUUUUUUUUUGAUACUUCUUGCCAUGUAGCCUUAGCUGGCCUGGAACUCAACAUCUGCCUGCCCCUGUCUUCUUAAUACUGGGGUUAAAGGUGUGUACAGCCUCACCAGCCUCAGACCCUUAGCCAGGAGCUAAGCAGUACAUUUGGAUUUAGCUGUCUAAAGUCAAGGCCUGCAUCCUGGGAGUAGGUCUAUACUGUAUAAAAUGGACAUCAUAGAUUUUACUUCCUAGUGCUGCCACGUGGGUGUUGCUCAGGGGGCUGGGAAUGAAUGUAUUAGAGGACUAGCCCAGCUGGCUCAGGGAAGGCGGAGUCAACUGUGCCGUGGAAUAAUCCUUGCACACUGUGAAGAUGUGUUGCUCUCGUUAUUAAUAACAAGUUGAUUGGCUGAUGGUUAGGCAGGAUUUUGGGGGCAGAGAGAACACUGGUAAGAAGAAGGAUGGAGUCUUCGGAGUCACAGGAGAUUCCUUGAGACGCAGAGCGAGCAGGAUGGGAAGUGCGCAGAUGAGGUAAAUGAGCCUGGGGGCAGGCAGCACACAGAUGAAUAGAAACGGGUUAAUUUAAGUUAUCAGAGCUAGCCCAGGCCACACAGUAAAGCAUGGAAGAGCUUGCUGGACUGAGCCCUUACACGGGGCACUGGUGUCUGAUGUGGCUCAAAUGUUGGUAAAGCAUUAAAGAAUUUUGCUAUUGCCUGGUGGUGGUGAUACACAUCUAUAAUCCCAGCACUCAGGAGGCAGAGGCAGGCAGAUCUCUGUGAGUUUUAGGCCUCUCUGGUCUAGGAUAGCCAGAACUUCACAAAGAAACCCUGUCUCUAAAAACAAAACAAAUGAAAACAAAUACAAAACAAAACAGUAUUUACUAUUGCUCUUUUCAACUCCUUACCUGUCAGUCAGAGAUGUUUAAAAACAUGGCAGCUCCAUUAACCACCACUGGCAUUCCUAGGUGGAAGUCUAUGUGCAAUAAAAAGUUAUGUUCAAAUUGAUUCCAGCACUAAAGAGGCUGAAACAGGAGGAUGUCUAAUUCCAGGGCAGCCUGGGAUGCAUUGCAAGAUACUGCGUCAAAAAAAAGAAGCCAAGGAAGACACAAAACAGAUACUCGAUGUUCAAAGAUGGCAAAACAGACUAGCCCGGAAGGACUCUUGCCAGCAAGGCGGAGGAUCUGCAUCUGAUUGUUGGGACACACGUGGCGGAAGAAAAGAACUGGCUCCCUGAAGUUGUUCUCUUAUCCCCAUGCAAACUGUGACAUGUGUACCUCUCCCACGUGCACACAAAGGAAGUGUAAUUUUACACUUUUGGUUGUGAGCCUCGCCUUUAAAAGCUGAGCCAUCUUUCCAUCCCAGUAAGUAUAAUUUUUAAAAGUUGAAUAAACUUAAGUCUGUGUAACAAA
Molecule: non-coding RNA, 2495 nt
Organism: Myodes glareolus (Bank vole)
Lineage: Eukaryota; Metazoa; Chordata; Mammalia; Rodentia; Cricetidae
Source: RefSeq, a predicted model, not a curated record